UCUCUAAUCUCAGAGAGGAGGGUCUCUAAUUUUACUGUAAUGGGGGUCUCUAAUCCCACCUGAGAGAUAGGGGGGGGUCUCAUCUUAGAGGAGAUAGCCCUAAUCCUAGUGAGAUGUCUAAUUUUACCUUAGGGGGUCUCUAAUCUCACUUUAGGGGGGUUCCAAUCUUUAGAGAGAAGUGGGGGUCUCUAAUCUUACUUUAGAGAGA
Suncus etruscus (white-toothed pygmy shrew) is the source of this 208-nucleotide long non-coding RNA. RefSeq lists it as uncharacterized. Lineage: Eukaryota; Metazoa; Chordata; Mammalia; Eulipotyphla; Soricidae. The transcript is spliced from 3 exons. The record is from RefSeq and is a predicted model, not a curated record.